RNAcentral lists this long non-coding RNA (503 nucleotides) under Cricetulus griseus (Chinese hamster). RNAcentral describes it as "lncRNA (ENSCGRG00015035677.1)". Lineage: Eukaryota; Metazoa; Chordata; Mammalia; Rodentia; Cricetidae. The record is from RNAcentral.
GCCCCCCGCGCGUGAUGUUUUCAAGGCUACUUUUGAGGAUUCUGCUUCUCUUCCUCUUCUCCUUUCAACUUCCAGCCACACCACACUGCUGAAGCAGAGUCUCAUUUGACAGAGGAUGGUAGGCUACCUCGUACUUGAGUUACAUUUGGAGAGCUGCACUGUGUUGCUACAGAACACAGACAAGAGUACCUAAGGGAAACUGAAGCUGUAUGUGAGCCAUCAUCUUAAGAUUAAGAAGACGACUGAGCAGACGAGAUGCCAAGGCAAACUGGGAAGAAUUUCAGGCCAUAGCAAGGUGCCUCUUCUAUUACUUUCUGUGGCUAGGUGCAUCCUCAUGUUAUUUUAUGGGGGCUCCUAUCAUUAGAUUGGCCCAACCAAAAAAAAAAAAGAAAGAAAGAAAAAGAAAAAAAAAUAUCCUGUCAUCAUCUGUGUCCUGAAACAGAUACCAUCAAUGGAUUGCAUCCUGUCUGUCUUCAUGUUUUGGAGAGUAGGGGGUAAAGAGU